UGUGACCUCAAAUCAGGUAGGACUACCCGCUGAACUUAAGCAUAUCAAUAAGCGGAGGAAAAGAAACUAACAAGGAUUCCCCUAGUAACUGCGAGUGAAGCGGGAAAAGCUCAAAUUUAAAAUCUGGCAGUCUUUGGCUGUCCGAGUUGUAAUCUAGAGAAGCGUUAUCCGCGUUGGACCGUGUACAAGUCUCCUGGAAUGGAGCGUCAUAGAGGGUGAGAAUCCCGUCUUUGACACGGACUGCCAGGGCUUUGUGAUGCGCUCUCAAAGAGUCGAGUUGUUUGGGAAUGCAGCUCAAAAUGGGUGGUAAAUUCCAUCUAAAGCUAAAUAUUGGCGAGAGACCGAUAGCGAACAAGUACCGUGAGGGAAAGAUGAAAAGAACUUUGGAAAGAGAGUUAAACAGUACGUGAAAUUGCUGAAAGGGAAACGCUUGAA
This 435-nucleotide ribosomal RNA is filed under the name Cortinarius tubulipes. RNAcentral describes it as "eukaryotic LSU rRNA". It matches the Rfam family "Eukaryotic large subunit ribosomal RNA", at positions 1 to 427 of the family's 3401-position model. Lineage: Eukaryota; Fungi; Basidiomycota; Agaricomycetes; Agaricales; Cortinariaceae. The record is from RNAcentral.